RNAcentral lists this ribosomal RNA (254 nucleotides) under uncultured bacterium. Its description in RNAcentral is "partial 16S ribosomal RNA". It matches the Rfam family "Bacterial small subunit ribosomal RNA", at positions 524 to 776 of the family's 1533-position model. The record is from RNAcentral.
UACGGGGGGAGCAAGCGUUGUUCGGAUUUACUGGGCGUAAAGGGCGCGUAGGCGGUCGUGACAAGUCACUUGUGAAAUCUCCGGGCUUAACUCGGAACGGUCAAGUGAUACUGUCGGACUAGAGUACAGAAGGGGCAACUGGAAUUCUCGGUGUAGCGGUGAAAUGCGUAGAUAUCGAGAGGAACACCUGCGGCGAAGGCGGGUUGCUGGGCUGAUACUGACGCUGAGGCGCGAAAGCCAGGGGAGCGGACGGG